This 636-nucleotide ribosomal RNA is filed under the name Streptococcus infantarius. RNAcentral's name for it is "bacterial SSU rRNA". It matches the Rfam family "Bacterial small subunit ribosomal RNA", at positions 45 to 663 of the family's 1533-position model. The record is from RNAcentral. Lineage: Bacteria; Bacillati; Bacillota; Bacilli; Lactobacillales; Streptococcaceae.
UGCCUAAUACAUGCAAGUAGAACGCUGAAGACUUUAGNCUUGCUAAAGUUGGAAGAGUUGCGAACGGGUGAGUAACGCGUAGGUAACCUGCCUACUAGCGGGGGAUAACUAUUGGAAACGAUAGCUAAUACCGCAUAACAGCAUUUAACACAUGUUAGAUGCUUGAAAGGAGCAAUUGCUUCACUAGUAGAUGGACCUGCGUUGUAUUAGCUAGUUGGUGAGGUAACGGCUCACCAAGGCGACGAUACAUAGCCGACCUGAGAGGGUGAUCGGCCACACUGGGACUGAGACACGGCCCAGACUCCUACGGGAGGCAGCAGUAGGGAAUCUUCGGCAAUGGGGGCAACCCUGACCGAGCAACGCCGCGUGAGUGAAGAAGGUUUUCGGAUCGUAAAGCUCUGUUGUAAGAGAAGAACGUGUGUGAGAGUGGAAAGUUCACACAGUGACGGUAACUUACCAGAAAGGGACGGCUAACUACGUGCCAGCAGCCGCGGUAAUACGUAGGUCCCGAGCGUUGUCCGGAUUUAUUGGGCGUAAAGCGAGCGCAGGCGGUUUAAUAAGUCUGAAGUAAAAGGCAGUGGCUUAACCAUUGUUCGCUUUGGAAACUGUUAGACUUGAGUGCAGAAGGGGAGAGUG